Triticum aestivum (bread wheat) is the source of this 663-nucleotide long non-coding RNA. RefSeq lists it as uncharacterized. The record is from RefSeq and is a predicted model, not a curated record. NCBI's taxonomy places the organism in Eukaryota, Viridiplantae, Streptophyta, Magnoliopsida, Poales, Poaceae. The transcript is spliced from 3 exons.
CACCCAGCGUAUCACGCAUUGGAUUAGGAAAUAAUGUUGCUGGGGUAAUUGCACUUGUCGAUGUAGUAAGUGAAGCAUGCUUGGCUUUGCACGAGAACAAUAUUGUGCACAGCCUAAUGAUGUCCAACCACGGCAGAAAUGUUUUCUUAUUCCCCAGGUGAAAAAUCUGGUCACUGGCUGCUGUCUUUCUGCCUGGGAGUGCUGUGGCUACUUUGUUUAUCACACCAAAGUUGAUUUCGACCGAGCUUCUAGUAGAAAUUCUGAAUUGGUAUCACUUUUCACGAUACCUAAAAGGUGGAAUAGCGAUUUUCGAACCAUUUCCUAUAAGAGAAUGGUUUCCAUUACUUUGAGAAAUGGAUUCUUGAGACCGGAAUUUCCAAUAGGAUGGCUUCGUUCUCGUUCCAAGAUGGUGACUUUGAAGACUUGAAGAAACUCUGCUGCGCUAUAGCUGAUGGCCUUGUUACCUAAGCCUGCACCGUAUGCAAGCAUCAACAAUGUGUGCAGCGGUUCAUUAUGUAAAAUCACCCAGAAUGUUACUGCAACUAUAAACAUAUCGUGUAUCAUGCUCUCCCAUUCCCCGUGUUUGGCGUGUUAUGCAUAAAUACUAUGAAACAUAUGUCUGAAGACAUCCGGGUUGAUGAAUAAAGCUUGCUGUUCUCCUCA